GUGGGGAAUUUUGGACAAUGGGCGCAAGCCUGAUCCAGCAAUGCCGCGUGUGUGAAGAAGGCCUUCGGGUUGUAAAGCACUUUUGGUAGGAAAGAAAUAGUGCGUGCUAAUACCAUGCGCGAAUGACGGUACCUGCAGAAUAAGCACCGGCUAACUACGUGCCAGCAGCCGCGGUAAGACGUAGGGUGCAAGCGUUAAUCGGAAUUACUGGGCGUAAAGCGUGCGCAGGCGGUUUUGUAAGACAGGUGUGAAAUCCCCGGGCUCAACCUGGGAACUGCACUUGUGACUGCAAGGCUAGAGUGUGUCAGAGGGAGGUGGAAUUCCGCGUGUAGCAGUGAAAUGCGUAGAGAUGCGGAGGAACACCGAUGGCGAAGGCAGCCUCCUGGGAUAACACUGACGCUCAGGCACGAAAGCGUGGGGAGCAAACAGGAUUAGAUACCCGUGUAGUCC
RNAcentral lists this ribosomal RNA (450 nucleotides) under uncultured bacterium. Its description in RNAcentral is "partial 16S ribosomal RNA". It matches the Rfam family "Bacterial small subunit ribosomal RNA", at positions 354 to 796 of the family's 1533-position model. The record is from RNAcentral.